Molecule: ribosomal RNA, 253 nt
Filed under: uncultured bacterium
Lineage: Bacteria
Description: partial 16S ribosomal RNA
Rfam family: Bacterial small subunit ribosomal RNA
Source: RNAcentral
UACGGGGGGGGCAAGCGUUGUUCGGAAUUACUGGGCGUAAAGGGCUCGUAGGCGGCCAACUAAGUCCGACGUGAAAUCCCCAGGCUUAACCUGGGAACUGCGUCGGAUACUGGAUGGCUUGAAUUCGGGAGAGGGAUGCAGAAUUCCAGGUGUAGCGGUGAAAUGCGUAGAUAUCUGGAGGAACACCGGUGGCGAAGGCGGCAUCCUGGACCAACACUGACGCUGAGGAGCGAAAGCCAGGGGAGCAAACGGG